RNAcentral lists this ribosomal RNA (274 nucleotides) under uncultured bacterium. Its description in RNAcentral is "partial 16S ribosomal RNA". It matches the Rfam family "Bacterial small subunit ribosomal RNA", at positions 523 to 796 of the family's 1533-position model. The record is from RNAcentral.
AUACGGAGGGUGCAAGCGUUACUCGGAAUCACUGGGCGUAAAGCGCGCGCAGGCGGCUUGAUAAGUUGGAUGUGAAAGCCUACGGCUCAACCGUAGAACUGCAUCCAAAACUGUCAGGCUAGAGUGUGGGAGAGGAAGAUGGAAUUAGUUGUGUAGGGGUAAAAUCCGUAGAGAUAACUAGGAAUACCAAAAGCGAAGGCAAUCUUCUGGAACACUACUGACGCUGAGGCGCGAAGGCGUGGGGAGCAUACAGGAUUAGAAACCCUUGUAGUCC